This 492-nucleotide ribosomal RNA is filed under the name uncultured bacterium. RNAcentral describes it as "partial 16S ribosomal RNA". It matches the Rfam family "Bacterial small subunit ribosomal RNA", at positions 29 to 507 of the family's 1533-position model. The record is from RNAcentral.
AGUGAACGCUGGCGGUAGGCCUAACACAUGCAAGUCGAACGGCAGCACAGUAAGAGCUUGCUCUUACGGGUGGCGAGUGGCGGACGGGUGAGGAAUACAUCGGAAUCUACUUUUUCGUGGGGGAUAACGUAGGGAAACUUACGCUAAUACCGCAUACGACCUACGGGUGAAAGCAGGGGAUCUUCGGACCUUGCGCGAUUGAAUGAGCCGAUGUCGGAUUAGCUAGUUGGCGGGGUAAAGGCCCACCAAGGCGACGAUCCGUAACUGGUCUGAGAGGAUGAUCAGCCACACUGGAACUGAGACACGGUCCAGACUCCUACGGGAGGCAGCAGUGGGGAAUAUUGGACAAUGGGCGCAAGCCUGAUCCAGCCAUACCGCGUGGGUGAAGAAGGCCUUCGGGUUGUAAAGCCCUUUUGUUGGGAAAGAAAAGCAGCAGGUGAAUACCCCGCUGUUCUGACGGUACCCAAAGAAUAAGCACCGGCUAACUUCGUG